GUCAGAAUUUUGGAAUGUGACACAAUCUCCUUUUUAACUUCUAUUGCAUUUUGGCUUCUGCCAUUAUCAUAAGAUGGGAUAGGUCGCUAUAUCAAACGGACACUGAGUAUCUCUCAGAUUCCCGCAGGAUCUUGAGGUGAACUCCCAUGUCGUAAACGUCAAUGUAGCAGAUGGCAUAUCUAUUAAAAACCAUUGAAAACACUCUCUGUUGGUGAUACUAUUGUGAAGCUUAAGACGCCCCUUGGAACCACAGUUGGUUAGGAUGAAGACGCUGGGUUACGAAAGUAGUAGAGAAAUUGUCCGAGGGAUGACUACUAUUAGAACAAAUUUAAUUUGGUCAUGUUACUGAAGAAAAUAUGGAAAGGUCAUUAAUCCAAAGAAUUCAUUGACCCUCCAGCAAGUUCAAUGUAUAGAAAUUUACAUGUUAAUUUGUGAUUGAGCGAUGAGUAGCAAGAUUAGCAUUGCUCAAAAUUGUCGGAUGUUUAAAAUCGAAGGUCAUUUUGAAUAACUACAAAUAUGCUAAUGAGGGUAUUUUUUUUC
Molecule: long non-coding RNA, 540 nt
Organism: Papaver somniferum (opium poppy)
Lineage: Eukaryota; Viridiplantae; Streptophyta; Magnoliopsida; Ranunculales; Papaveraceae
Exons: 2
Source: RefSeq, a predicted model, not a curated record